UUGCUUUGGAGGCGUCGAGCGGCGGACGGGGUGAGUAAUGCAUAGGAUUCUGCCCGAUAGUGGGGGAUAACCUGGGGAAACUCAGGCUAAUACCGCAUACGUCCUACGGGAGAAAGCAGGGGAUCUUCGGACCUUGCGCUAUCGGAUGAGCCUAUGUCGGAUUAGCUAGUUGGUGAGGUAACGGCUCACCAAGGCGACGAUCCGUAGCUGGUCUGAGAGGAUGAUCAGCCACACUGGGACUGAGACACGGCCCAGACUCCUACGGGAGGCAGCAGUGGGGAAUAUUGGACAAUGGGGGAAACCCUGACAGGCCUAACACAUGCAAGUCGAGCGGAAACGAUCAUAGCUUGCUAGGAGGCGUCGAGCGGCGGACGGGUGAGUAAUGCAUAGGAAUCUGCCCGAUAGUGGGGGAUAACCUGGGGAAACUCAGGCUAAUACCGCAUACGUCCUACGGGAGAAAGCAGGGGAUCUUCGGACCUUGCGCUAUCGGAUGAGCCUAUGUCGGAUUAGCUAGUUGGUGAGGUAACGGCUCACCAAGGCGACGAUCCGUAGCUGGUCUGAGAGGAUGAUCAGCCACACUGGGACUGAGACACGGCCCAGACUCCUACGGGAGGCAGCAGUGGGGAAUAUUGGACAAUGGGGGAAACCCUGAUCCAGCCAUGCCGCGUGUGUGAAGAAGGCCUUCGGGUUGUAAAGCACUUUCAGCGAGGAAGAAGGCCUGGGGGCUAAUACCCCUCAGGAAGGACAUCACUCGCAGAAGAAGCACCGGCUAACUCCGUGCCAGCAGCCGCGGUAAUACGGAGGGUGCGAGCGUUAAUCGGAAUUACUGGGCGUAAAGCGCGCGUAGGUGGCUUGAUAAGCCGGUUGUGAAAGCCCCGGGCUCAACCUGGGAACGGCAUCCGGAACUGUCAGGCUAGAGUGCAGGAGAGGAAGGUAGAAUUCCCGGUGUAGCGGUGAAAUGCGUAGAGAUCGGGAGGAAUACCAGUGGCGAAGGCGGCCUUCUGGACUGACACUGACACUGAGGUGCGAAAGCGUGGGUAGCAAACAGGAUUAGAUACCCUGGUAGUCCACGCCGUAAACGAUGUCGACUAGCCGUUGG
This 1099-nucleotide ribosomal RNA is filed under the name Halomonas sp. MML1959. RNAcentral's name for it is "bacterial SSU rRNA". The stretch from base 282 to 1099 matches the Rfam family "Bacterial small subunit ribosomal RNA", at positions 1 to 826 of the family's 1533-position model. The record is from RNAcentral. Lineage: Bacteria; Pseudomonadati; Pseudomonadota; Gammaproteobacteria; Oceanospirillales; Halomonadaceae.